Molecule: ribosomal RNA, 242 nt
Filed under: uncultured bacterium
Lineage: Bacteria
Description: partial 16S ribosomal RNA
Rfam family: Bacterial small subunit ribosomal RNA
Source: RNAcentral
GAUCAUGGCUCAGGAUGAACGCUAGCGACAGGCCUAACACAUGCAAAUCGAGGGGCAGCGGGGUAGGUAGCUAAUACCUUUGCCGGCGACCGGCGCACGGGUGAGUAACACGUAUGCAAUCCACCUGUAACAGGGGGAUAACCCGGAGAAAUCCGGACUAAUACCCCAUAAUAUGGGCUCUCCGCAUGGAGGGUUCAUUAAAGAGAGCAAUUUUGGUUACAGACGAGCAUGCGCUCCAUUAG